Molecule: ribosomal RNA, 305 nt
Filed under: uncultured Bacillus sp.
Lineage: Bacteria; Bacillati; Bacillota; Bacilli; Caryophanales; Bacillaceae
Description: bacterial SSU rRNA
Rfam family: Bacterial small subunit ribosomal RNA
Source: RNAcentral
GGGUUAAGUCCCGCAACGAGCGCAACCCCUACGUUUAGUUGCUAACGCGUGAAGGCGAGCACUCUAGACGAACUGCCGUUGACAAACGGAGGAAGUGGGAUGAACGUCAAAUCAUCAUGCCCCUUAUGUUCUGGGCUACACACGUGCUACAAUGGCCGGUACAGACGGACGCAAAGCCGCGAGGUGGAGCAAAUCCUAAAAAGCCGGUCUCAGUUCGGAUUGCAGGCUGCAAUUCGCCUGCCAUGAAGUCGGAAUCGCUAGUAAUCGCAGGUCAGCAUACUGCGGUGAAUACGUUCCCGGGCCUU